This 426-nucleotide ribosomal RNA is filed under the name Bestiolina sp. KU-D-3m-5-10. Its description in RNAcentral is "bacterial SSU rRNA". It matches the Rfam family "Eukaryotic small subunit ribosomal RNA", at positions 98 to 520 of the family's 1831-position model. The record is from RNAcentral. Lineage: Eukaryota; Metazoa; Arthropoda; Copepoda; Calanoida; Paracalanidae.
UCAUAAAAUCACACAUAAUAAUAAUAGAUAGUAAAACAAUUACUUGAAUAAUUGCGAAAAAUUCAGGAGCUAAUACAUGCAUAAAGCCCCAACUCACGAAGGGGCGCUUUUAUUAGAUCAAAACCAAACGGCUUCGGCUGUACUUUUGGUGAUUCUGAAUAACUUUGGGCUGAUCGCAUAGCCUUGCGCUGGCGACAUAUCCUUCGAAGGUGUGCCCUAUCAACUGUCGACUGUGGCAUAGACGCGCGGRAGUGGUUUUGACGGGUAACGGGGAAUCAGGGUUCGAUUCCGGAGAGGGAGCCUUAAAAACGGCUACCACAUCUAAGGAAGGCAGCAGGCACGCAAAUUACCCAAUGACCGACGUUCUAGGUAGUGACGAAAAAUAACSAUAGCGGUGCUCAUCCGAGGUACGCUAAUUGGAAUGAG